Molecule: ribosomal RNA, 321 nt
Filed under: uncultured bacterium
Lineage: Bacteria
Description: bacterial SSU rRNA
Rfam family: Bacterial small subunit ribosomal RNA
Source: RNAcentral
GAUGAACGCUAGCGACAGGCUUAACACAUGCAAGUCGAGGGGCAGCGGGGGAGAAAGCUUGCUUUCUCCUGCCGGCGACCGGCGCACGGGUGAGUAACACGUAUGCAACCUGGCCGUCACAGGUGGAUAACCGGAAGAAAUUCCGACUAAUACAGCAUAACACUCCUGAGGGACAUCCUUCGGGAGUCAAAGGAGGCGACUCCGGUGACGGAUGGGCAUGCGGCGCAGUAGGUAGGUGGUAGGGUAACGGCCUACCAAGCCGACGAUGCGUAGGGGUUCUGAGAGGAAGGUCCCCCACAUUGGAACUGAGACACGGUCCAA